UGGGUUAACCAAAAAGUUCUUUCUGACUUUUCUGUAAGAUGUUACAGAAAACCCUGAGUGAACUUUUUGGCCAAACCAAU
RNAcentral lists this microRNA precursor (80 nucleotides) under Ovis aries (sheep). RNAcentral's name for it is "miRNA (ENSOARG00000022877.1)". The record is from RNAcentral. Lineage: Eukaryota; Metazoa; Chordata; Mammalia; Artiodactyla; Bovidae.